Non-coding RNA from Phascolarctos cinereus (koala), 595 nucleotides. The record is from RefSeq and is a predicted model, not a curated record. NCBI's taxonomy places the organism in Eukaryota, Metazoa, Chordata, Mammalia, Diprotodontia, Phascolarctidae.
GGGCCCUCCCAGCUCUGACAUUUUGUGGUCUAAGGUCCCCCUUGGCUCUGACAUUUUCCAUUCUAAGGACCUUUCUGGCUCUUUGGCUUCAUGAUUUUGCCUCCCAGUCUGGCCUAGCUUGGAAUUGCUUCCCCAAUCCUCAGAGCAGUCUGGGGGCAGGAUCAGGAAGAAGCCCACCACAUUCACAUUUGCCCUGACUUCAGAGACCACUGGAGAAGUUUCAGAAAGCCCUUUUCCUGCCUCAAUGAGCCCCCUGAACAUCAAACCUGAGCCUUCUGAUCCCAGGUUCUUAACUCACAGAAGUAAGGAACCUCCAGAGAGAAGGUCCCAAAGUAAUAUGGGCCUGUCCGGCUCUAAAUCUAUGGAUCCUAGAACUUCAACACUUUUGGCAAGAGAAGUGGCGGCCUAUGGAUAUGGAAUGUUGCAUAUGCUGUUGUUGGUUUUGCUGGAUUCUUCAUUACAAGAAGAAUGAGAUGGGCUACUUCCAAACCAUUCUUAUGACACCAACAUGGAGAUAAGAAGAAGCGAUAUAAGGACACUCUCAAGCUCCUCUUGUGAGACAUGGGAGACACUGGCACAGGACCACCCAGCAUGG